Molecule: ribosomal RNA, 344 nt
Filed under: Bacillus velezensis
Lineage: Bacteria; Bacillati; Bacillota; Bacilli; Caryophanales; Bacillaceae
Description: bacterial SSU rRNA
Rfam family: Bacterial small subunit ribosomal RNA
Source: RNAcentral
UUAUCGGAGAGUUUGAUCCUGGCUCAGGACGAACGCUGGCGGCGUGCCUAAUACAUGCAAGUCGAGCGGACAGAUGGGAGCUUGCUCCCUGAUGUUAGCGGCGGACGGGUGAGUAACACGUGGGUAACCUGCCUGUAAGACUGGGAUAACUCCGGGAAACCGGGGCUAAUACCGGAUGCUUGUUUGAACCGCAUGGUUCAGACAUAAAAGGUGGCUUCGGCUACCACUUACAGAUGGACCCGCGGCGCAUUAGCUAGUUGGUGAGGUAACGGCUCACCAAGGCGACGAUGCGUAGCCGACCUGAGAGGGUGAUCGGCCACACUGGGACUGAGACACGGCCACGC